This 492-nucleotide ribosomal RNA is filed under the name uncultured bacterium. RNAcentral describes it as "partial 16S ribosomal RNA". It matches the Rfam family "Bacterial small subunit ribosomal RNA", at positions 29 to 507 of the family's 1533-position model. The record is from RNAcentral.
AGUGAACGCUGGCGGUAGGCCUAACACAUGCAAGUCGAACGGCAGCACAGUAAGAGCUUGCUCUUACGGGUGGCGAGUGGCGGACGGGUGAGGAAUACAUCGUAAUCUACUUUUUCGUGGGGGUUAACGUAGGGAAACUUACGCUAAUACCUCAUACUACCUACGGGUGAAAGCAGGGGAUCUUCCGACCUUGCGCGAUUGAAUGAGCCGAUGUCGGAUUAGCUAGUUGGCGGGGUAAAGGCCCACCAAUGCGACGAUUCGUAGCUGGUCUGCUAGGAUGUUCAUGCACGCUGGAACUAAGACACGGUCCGUACUCCUAAAGGAGGCGGCAGUGGUAAAGAUUAGACAACGGUCGGAAGCCUGGUCCAGCCAUACCGCGUGGGUAAAGAAGGCCUUAGUGUUCUAAAGCCCUUUUGUUGGGAAAGAAGAGCUGCUGGUUAAUACCCCGCUGUUCUGACGGUACCCAAAGAAGAAGCACCGGCUAACUUCGUG